CUACACUAUGCACAACCAAAAGCUCUUUUAAGAGCCAUUCACAUUGCAAUAAGAGUAUUCUUCCAUUUACUGAGCUAUGUCAACUGCAGUUAUUCAAUUCCCAAUUUCUCUCCCUUUGAUUUCUACUUCUCAGUAAACAGGCUCAGGUGUAUAACUGUGGCUCCUUCCACCUUCAAAGAAUAGGCAAGAGGGCCAACCAUGGAGAAUAGUUAUAUCAGCUGUGUCGGUGAACCCCUCCUGCAUCUGAACUGGCUACAUAGAGGGCACUGCAUGAUCAGAGGUAUGUUUUGAUGUGAGAGGAUGCCAACCCCCAGUCCCAUCAUCACCACCUCACCUGCUUUUAAGAACCUUUGGGUCGACGAGAGACACUAUUAUGUAAUUGUGAUGAACUGAG
RNAcentral lists this long non-coding RNA (394 nucleotides) under Salmo salar (Atlantic salmon). RNAcentral describes it as "lncRNA (ENSSSAG00000102900.1)". The stretch from base 16 to 61 matches the Rfam family "Histone 3' UTR stem-loop". The record is from RNAcentral. Lineage: Eukaryota; Metazoa; Chordata; Actinopteri; Salmoniformes; Salmonidae.